AGGAUCAAGAAGGGUUUAAAGAUCCUCUCUUCUCAUUCGAUGGGGUGCUCUUAUGGAAUAUAGGGGUGUCAUGUGAUUAGAUCCCAUGAAGAAUAACAUGCAUGAAAGGAAGAACUUAUUUUUCUGUAAGAUUCUAGAUAUUGAAACCCUAGAUUUGUGGUAUGUGAUAUAAAGUUGUAUAAAAAAUAAAAUAUCUAAUUUAUAAGAU
This 208-nucleotide long non-coding RNA is filed under the name Elaeis guineensis (African oil palm). RNAcentral describes it as "long non-coding RNA (EGUI_LNC039638)". The record is from RNAcentral. Lineage: Eukaryota; Viridiplantae; Streptophyta; Magnoliopsida; Arecales; Arecaceae.